Molecule: ribosomal RNA, 832 nt
Filed under: Microbacterium paraoxydans
Lineage: Bacteria; Bacillati; Actinomycetota; Actinomycetes; Micrococcales; Microbacteriaceae
Also listed under: 1 other name
Description: bacterial SSU rRNA
Rfam family: Bacterial small subunit ribosomal RNA
Source: RNAcentral
CUCAGGAUGAACGCUGGCGGCGUGCUUAACACAUGCAAGUCGAACGGUGAAGCAGGAGCUUGCUCUUGUGGAUCAGUGGCGAACGGGUGAGUAACACGUGAGCAACCUGCCCCUGACUCUGGGAUAAGCGCUGGAAACGGCGUCUAAUACUGGAUAUGUGACGUGACCGCAUGGUCUGCGUUUGGAAAGAUUUUUCGGUUGGGGAUGGGCUCGCGGCCUAUCAGCUUGUUGGUGAGGUAAUGGCUCACCAAGGCGUCGACGGGUAGCCGGCCUGAGAGGGUGACCGGCCACACUGGGACUGAGACACGGCCCAGACUCCUACGGGAGGCAGCAGUGGGGAAUAUUGCACAAUGGGCGAAAGCCUGAUGCAGCAACGCCGCGUGAGGGAUGACGGCCUUCGGGUUGUAAACCUCUUUUAGCAGGGAAGAAGCGAAAGUGACGGUACCUGCAGAAAAAGCGCCGGCUAACUACGUGCCAGCAGCCGCGGUAAUACGUAGGGCGCAAGCGUUAUCCGGAAUUAUUGGGCGUAAAGAGCUCGUAGGCGGUUUGUCGCGUCUGCUGUGAAAUCCCGAGGCUCAACCUCGGGCCUGCAGUGGGUACGGGCAGACUAGAGUGCGGUAGGGGAGAUUGGAAUUCCUGGUGUAGCGGUGGAAUGCGCAGAUAUCAGGAGGAACACCGAUGGCGAAGGCAGAUCUCUGGGCCGUAACUGACGCUGAGGAGCGAAAGGGUGGGGAGCAAACAGGCUUAGAUACCCUGGUAGUCCACCCCGUAAACGUUGGGAACUAGUUGUGGGGUCCAUUCCACGGAUUCCGUGACGCAGCUAACGCAUUAA